This is an RNA transcript of Propithecus coquereli (Coquerel's sifaka), 1188 nucleotides long. It is a transcript of the gene named tubulin alpha chain-like, with no coding region annotated. The transcript has a single exon. NCBI's taxonomy places the organism in Eukaryota, Metazoa, Chordata, Mammalia, Primates, Indriidae. The record is from RefSeq and is a predicted model, not a curated record.
GUGCGUUACUUACCUCGACUCUUAGCUUGUCGGGGACGGUAACCGGAACCCGGUGUCUGCUCCUGUCGCCUUCGCCUCCUAACCUGUAGCCACCAUGCGUGAGUGCAUCUCGAUCCACGUUGGCCAGGCUGGUGUCCAGACUGGCAAUGCCUGCUGGGAGCUCUACUGCCUGGAACACGGCAUCCAGCCUGAUGGCCAGAUGCCAAGUGACAAGACCAUUGGGGUAGGAGAUGACUCCUUCAACACCUUCUUCAGUGAGACGGGUGCUGGCAAGCAUGUGCCCAGGGCAGUGUUUGUAGACCUGGAACCCACAGUCAUUGACGAAGUUCGCACUGGUACCUACCGCCAGCUCUUCCACCCUGAGCAGCUCAUCACAGGCAAGGAAGAUGCUGCCAAUAACUAUGCCCGUGGGCACUAUACCAUUGGCAAGGAGAUCAUUGACCUCGUCUUGGACCGAAUUCGUAAACUGGCUGACCAGUGCACAGGUCUUCAGGGCUUCUUGGUUUUCCACAGCUUUGGUGGGGGAACUGGUUCUGGGUUCACCUCUCUGCUGAUGGAGUGCCUCUCUGUCGAUUAUGGCAAGAAGUCCAAGCUGGAAUUCUCUAUUUACCCAGCCCCCCAGGUUUCCACAGCUGUAGUUGAGCCCUACAACUCCAUCCUCACCACCCACACCACCCUGGAGCACUCUGAUUGUGCCUUCAUGGUAGACAAUGAGGCCAUCUAUGACAUCUGUCGUAGAAACCUUGAUAUCCAGUUUGUGGAUUAGUGUCCCAUUGGCUUCAAGGUUGGCAUCAAUUACCAGCCUCCCACUGUGGUACCUGGUGGCGACCUGGCCAAGGUACAGAGAGCUGUGUGCAUGCUGAGCAACACCACAGCCAUUGCUGAGGCCUGGGCUCGCCUGGACCACAAGUUUGACCUGAUGUAUGCCAAGCGUGCCUUUGUUCACUGGUACGUGGGUGAGGGGAUGGAGGAGGGAGAGUUUUCUGAAGCCCGUGAGGACAUGGCUGCCCUUGAGAAGGAUUAUGAGGAGGUUGGUGUGGAUUCUGUUGAAGGAGAGGGUGAGGAAGAAGGAGAGGAAUACUAAUUAUCCAUUCCUUUCAGCCCCCGUGCAGCAUGUCAUAUUCCCAGAAUUUCAGCUUCAACAUUAGCUGGCAGAUCUUAAAGCUUUCUGGUUAGAUUGUUUUCACU